Molecule: unclassified non-coding RNA, 257 nt
Filed under: Hevea brasiliensis (rubber tree)
Lineage: Eukaryota; Viridiplantae; Streptophyta; Magnoliopsida; Malpighiales; Euphorbiaceae
Source: RNAcentral
UAGGGUCGAUGAGAGUUUGGUGUCUCCCAUCGACCCUAACUUGUUUGAAAUAUAGGCGGUGGAACAUCAUACGUUCUUUCCAUCUUAAUCAGAAUGGAGGUUUUCUCGAUAUGAAGCACUAAGAACUCCAUAAUAAACUUUCAACAAUAUAAAUCUGAAUUAGUUGGACCGAUGAUUUGUUGACAUUGAAUGCUCCAAGGGGAAAGAAAGUUGUGUUUGGAUGUAUUUUUGAAUCAAUCUAGAUGUUUCAUAUUUUG